Molecule: ribosomal RNA, 501 nt
Filed under: uncultured bacterium
Lineage: Bacteria
Description: partial 16S ribosomal RNA
Rfam family: Bacterial small subunit ribosomal RNA
Source: RNAcentral
AUUGAACGCUGGCGGCAGGCUUAACACAUGCAAGUCGAGCGGGGGAAGGUAGCUUGCUACCGGACCUAGCGGCGGACGGGUGAGUAAUGCUUAGGAAUCUGCCUAUUAGUGGGGGACAACAUCUCGAAAGGGACGCUAAUACCGCAUACGUCCUACGGGAGAAAGCAGGGGAACUUCGGACCUCGCGCUAAUAGAUGAGCCUAAGUCGGAUUAGCUAGUUGGUGGGGUAAAGGCCUACCAAGGCGACGAUCUGUAGCGGGUCUGAGAGGAUGAUCCGCCACACUGGGACUGAGACACGGCCCAGACUCCUACGGGAGGCAGCAGUGGGGAAUAUUGGACAAUGGGGGGAACCCUGAUCCAGCCAUGCCGCGUGUGUGAAGAAGGCCUUAUGGUUGUAAAGCACUUUAAGCGAGGAGGAGGCUACUUUAGUUAAUACCUAGAGAUAGUGGACGUUACUCGCAGGAUAAGCACCGGCUAACUCUGUGCCAGCAGCCGCAGUAA